Long non-coding RNA from Sinocyclocheilus anshuiensis, 96 nucleotides. RefSeq lists it as uncharacterized. The record is from RefSeq and is a predicted model, not a curated record. The transcript has 3 exons. NCBI's taxonomy places the organism in Eukaryota, Metazoa, Chordata, Actinopteri, Cypriniformes, Cyprinidae.
AAAUAAUUUUACAUAAAUUUACAUUAUGAUUACCUGCCAAGGGACCGCAGAUGAAAACUAGCCAUUGGCUAAAUUCGGUACAAUGCAUGAAAUGGA